CACGUAGGGGACGAGCGUUGUCCGGAUUCAUUGGGCGUAAAGGGCGCGUAGGCGGCUCCGAAAGUGGCAUGUGAAAGCCCCCGGCUCAACCGGGGAAGUGCGUGCCAAACUUCGGUUCUUGAGGGCGGUAGGGGGGACUGGAACUCUCGGUGGAGCGGUGAAAUGCGUAGAUAUCGAGAGGAACACCGGUGGCGAAGGCGAGUCCCUGGUCCGCAUCUGACGCUGAGGCGCGAAAGCGUGGGUAGCAAACAGG
Molecule: ribosomal RNA, 253 nt
Filed under: uncultured bacterium
Lineage: Bacteria
Description: partial 16S ribosomal RNA
Rfam family: Bacterial small subunit ribosomal RNA
Source: RNAcentral